AUUACGUUUGUAACCACACCAGGAAUCGGGAGGACUGAUGGAGAAGCCAUACAUCUGGAAGGCAAAUCCUGAGGACCACCAGGACUCUACCAUCAAGGAUUCCUCAUAAUUGUGCAUUAUCUGGACAUAGUGGACUAGACACACCUGAGCUUAACCUCACCUGAUCCUGUUUGGUCGGGGGUAGACACACCUGAGCUAAACCCGCCCUGAUCCUGACAUCCUGCUGGUCCCGUCCCCUCAGUUCAUCUGAGCCUCGUCCUCCAGAAGACCUGCUGAGCUCAGCAGUCUGAGGCUGAUGGAUCAAUGACCUCCAGUGGGAGUGAUCUUCUUGACCCCAAAUGUAACCGUGUGCUUCCACACGCCUUUCCCUCACGUCUGUCACUAACCUCACUACUUCACUACUGCUUCCACUUUUCUUCCUACUCUGUGGUUCAAACCUUUACACUGAAGGCACGUCUUCCUGCCCUCAGAGGGUUUAGCGUUAGGGUUGAGAGUCAGGGUUUAGAGUCAGGGACAGAGCUGGUCAGGGAGGACUGCUUUUACACAAACCUCUUCACUUGCUUUCGGAAUGGUGGUGACAUUUUGAAAGGAUUCAUUUGGGAAAAUGUUUUCCUCUGCUUUCCUUUACAAAUUGUAUUCAAUUUCUGUCAAGUGUUUUUGUUUAUAUAUUAAAAUCCCACAUUGACUUCUA
This is a long non-coding RNA of Gadus macrocephalus (Pacific cod), 691 nucleotides long. RefSeq lists it as uncharacterized. NCBI's taxonomy places the organism in Eukaryota, Metazoa, Chordata, Actinopteri, Gadiformes, Gadidae. The record is from RefSeq and is a predicted model, not a curated record. The transcript is spliced from 2 exons.